GCUACACCAUAAGAAGCAUGUGACUGUCUCCUCUGGUUUCAGUAUCUUGUUUCCAGCAUGAACAGACAGUGUUUUAGUGUUUAUAGGCACCAAACUGGUAAUACUCUGAAAUGAAAUUUGCAUGGAAAAUCCACUAUCAUGAUGGAGGAAUGCGGUGUCCCAAUAGUGAUGAGUGAUUUGAGAGGCCAUAUUUCAUUGCUGUCAACAGUUUCCCAGCAGAAGUUCAAUCAACUGCAAUUGUUGAAAGAAAAAGGAAGAAGUAGAAGAAGUUUACUGGAAAUGCCAUAAAAAUAUUCAGAGCUGAAAGAGAGUCACUGGCUCCAAGUCACCCAGCCAGUUUUUCACGCCUAAAGCAUAACUAGAACUCAGAAUCUCCUGGUUUCCAGACUGGCACCAUAGCUACUAGACCAAACUGACUCUACUUUAAUCAAACAACAAUAGUAAUACAAAAUAUUGUUACCAACCUUUGGGGGUAGAUAACAGCUGGCAAUAGAUUCAUACAGAUUAAAAUGUAUCCAAGAAAGGCAUUGCUAUGUAUUUCCUUUCUCAAUAGAAAAUAAACAACUGUGCUUUUUAUA
Molecule: long non-coding RNA, 578 nt
Organism: Crotalus tigris (Tiger rattlesnake)
Lineage: Eukaryota; Metazoa; Chordata; Lepidosauria; Squamata; Viperidae
Exons: 4
Source: RefSeq, a predicted model, not a curated record